Molecule: ribosomal RNA, 492 nt
Filed under: uncultured bacterium
Lineage: Bacteria
Description: partial 16S ribosomal RNA
Rfam family: Bacterial small subunit ribosomal RNA
Source: RNAcentral
AGUGAACGCUGGCGGUAGGCCUAACACAUGCAAGUCGAACGGCAGCACAGUAAGAGCUUGCUCUUACGGGUGGCGAGUGGCGGACGGGUGAGGAAUACAUCGGAAUCUACUUUUUCGUGGGGGAUAACGUAGGGAAACUUACGCUAAUACCGCAUACGACCUACGGGUGAAAGCAGGGGAUCUUCGGACCUUGCGCGAUUGAAUGAGCCGAUGUCGGAUUAGCUAGUUGGCGGGGUAAAGGCCCACCAAGGCGACGAUCCGUAGCUGGUCUGAGAGGCUGAUCGGCCACACUGGAACUGGGACAGGGUCAAGACUCCUACGGGAGGCAGCAGUGGGGAAUAUUGGACAAUGGGCGCAAGCCUGAUCCAGCCAUACCGCGUGGGUGAAGAAGGCCUUCGGGUUGUAAAGCCCUUUUGUUGGGAAAGAAAGGCAGCAGGUUAAUACCCCGCUGUUCUGACGGUACCCAAAGAAUAAGCACCGGCUAACUUCGUG